Misgurnus anguillicaudatus (oriental weatherfish) is the source of this 1887-nucleotide long non-coding RNA. RefSeq lists it as uncharacterized. The record is from RefSeq and is a predicted model, not a curated record. Lineage: Eukaryota; Metazoa; Chordata; Actinopteri; Cypriniformes; Cobitidae.
UCAGUAUAUUCAGUAUAUAAUUCAGUAUACAUACGUUAAAUUAUUAAUUUCCCUGCAUGGAGAUCAUAAGAUUAGAUUGGUAACGUACAUAACCCUCUAACAAGAACUUCUGAGAAACCAAGAUCACGACGUCAAUUGUGACAUUAAUGAUCCUUAAAUUUUUGUUGUGAAAAUUACUAAUUUGUGUAUCAGUGUAAGCACGUGAACAUCGCAGAUGUGUAAACAAUUGGUUUGUUUAUAAAUCCAAACGCGUGGUCUUCGUGAAACCACAUCUAGCUCUAUUUUGGUUACACACAUAUGGUUUAUGUUCAUUGCUUGAAGUACCAAUCAAUUCUUCAUAUUUGCCAAACGUAUAAAGUUGGUAAAAACCCAGUGUUCGUUGGUAAUUCAUUUUUGGUGUGCGGUUUCAUCGGAAACAGCACAGAUUGGCGAGUCGUGACUGCUAAAGUGAGUAAUGCGCGUCGGCUGCGUCAAUAGGGGCAAAGCGCUGGGUGCCGGAGACAGAUGGAGGGAAUCGUGACUGACUGGAGACUUCCACAAAUGAAACCACAACCUCAUCAUAUCUCAAUGAGGGAACUAUUUGUGAAGAUAAGACUUAGAUGUUAGGGUCUUGCUGUUCUCCUAGUCACUCUUAGUCCUGACCUUGGGAUUCUGGGGUAAUGAGAGAAAAGCGACAUACUGUAGGGAUCUUUUAGAGUUUGUGUGUGUGCGUGCGCGCGUGCAAAACAGAAAGAAUGAUGUGUGUGUGUGUGUGUGUGUGUGUGUGUGUGUCUUUGUUUGUGAGUGUGUGAGAGAGUGUGUGUAAGCUUGUGUGCUUCUUUGGGGACGGGUUUAUAUGGCUGUGUGUGUUUGUCUGCGCGCGCGUAUGCGUGAGUUGUGUGGGGUAUCCAAAUAUAGCCAGAGAACGAUGUUCAUUAUUUUAUGAGACAAGAAAGGAGGUGACCGCAAAUCUUUAGCUUUGGUGCUAGGUGACUUUAAAUCUUUAUCAGACUUAUGCACAGACAAAGGAUAUUGAGGAACUUAUUUUGGGGGGUCCCUGUGUGAGAAGAGCAAGGAUUGGUCGAAUGACGAUUUUUUGUUUGCUCCAAUGAAAUCCUUCACUGCUCUCUAUUUACUGUGAGCUGGAGCGCAGUAAUUCCCCUCCUUCAACAGAUCUAUCGACUGACAGGAGUAGAUCAGCUUUUUACUUAACCACAUCACGAACAGGAGAAUAUGUACAGUAUGAGCAUAAAAACAGCACGAGAACACGGAUGAAAUGACAGUGCAAAGCCUCGGACGCGAAGAAAGUCGUACACCGGAGCGGAUUCUGUGCGUUUCUCCGUGAACGUUUAGAAUUGGAGUCUACUGCACACGGUCUGGCCAUUGGCUACAACAGCACGGACUGUCAAUAAUUAUGGACAAAACCUGCAACUCAGAUGUCACAUUCAAAGCGUACGGAAAACGGACUGUCUAAAGUCUUUCACGAAUCUUUUUGCGGUCUGGGCUUGCUGUUCAUAACUAUCAAUGGGAAGCCCUUACCCCAAAAAGCAUUUGCGGAGGGCACACACACCGAAUAAUAGAAGGAUGCUCUGAUGUCUUACUUCUGCUCCUCUUGGACUAUCAUCAUACUCAUUGUUAGAAUGGCACGUUGCAAUUCUAAUGAGUUAUUAUGUUUAUCAUUUUUGUGCUCAGUCUUUACUAUUAGAUUUUUUUCUAAGUCUGGCACACCCUUUCUGUAUCUUAUGGCUCCAACCGCGCCUUAUCAGUUUAACGUGUGAUUUAAUUCUGGAUUUUAAGAGUAAGGUGUGAGGACUGCAUGGUUAAAACUAAUAUAAAUUAUGCGUUUGACAGUGAUACAAUGUGAAUGAACUACUGAAUGAAAACAUAUACAAUAAAAAAAUAAUAUUA